Molecule: ribosomal RNA, 401 nt
Filed under: uncultured bacterium
Lineage: Bacteria
Description: bacterial SSU rRNA
Rfam family: Bacterial small subunit ribosomal RNA
Source: RNAcentral
GACGAACGCUGGCGGCGUGCUUAACACAUGCAAGUCGAACGAUGAAGCCUUUCGGGGUGGAUUAGUGGCGAACGGGUGAGUAACACGUGGGUGACCUGCCCUCAGCUCUGGGAUAAGCCUGGGAAACUGGGUCCAAUACUGGAUAUGACUCCACGGUGCAUGUCGUGGGGUGGAAAGCCUUGUGCGGCUGAGGAUGGGCCCGCGGCCUAUCAGCUUGUUGGUGGGGUGAUGGCCUACCAAGGCGACGACGGGUAGCCGGCCUGAGAGGGCGACCGGCCACACUGGGACUGAGACACGGCCCAGACUCCUACGGGAGGCAGCAGUGGGGAAUCUUGCGCAAUGGGCGAAAGCCUGACGCAGCGACGCCGCGUGAGGGAUGACGGCCUCGGUGUAACGUACUU